GCGCCUGUAGAUCAGUUGGUUAGAUCGCAUGCUUGACAUGCAUGAGGUCACAGGUUCGAGUCCUGUCAGGCGCA
Molecule: transfer RNA, 74 nt
Filed under: Planctomyces sp. SCGC AG-212-M04
Lineage: Bacteria; Pseudomonadati; Planctomycetota; Planctomycetia; Planctomycetales; Planctomycetaceae
Rfam family: tRNA
About the family: Transfer RNA (tRNA) molecules are approximately 80 nucleotides in length.
Source: Rfam by way of RNAcentral